GACGAACGCUGGCGGCGUGCUUAACACAUGCCAGUCGAACGGACAGGCCCUGCUUUUGUGGGGUGCUCGAGUGGCGAACGGGUGAGUAACACGUGAGUAACCUGCCCUUGACUUUGGGAUAACUUCAGGAAACUGGGGCUAAUACCGGAUAGGAGCUCCUGCUGCAUGGUGGGGGUUGGAAAGUUUCGGCGGUUGGGGAUGGACUCGCGGCUUAUCAGCUUGUUGGUGGGGUAGUGGCUUACCAAGGCUUUGACGGGUAGCCGGCCUGAGAGGGUGACCGGCCACAUUGGGACUGAGAUACGGCACAGACUCCUACGGGAGGCAGCAGUGGGGAAUAUUGCACAAUGGGAGGAAGCCUGAUGCAGCAACGCCGCGUGCGGGAUGACGGCCUUCGGGUUGGAAACCGCUUUCGCCUGUGACGAAGCGUGAGUGACGGUAAUGGGUAAAGAAGCACCGGCUAACUACGUG
Molecule: ribosomal RNA, 468 nt
Filed under: uncultured bacterium
Lineage: Bacteria
Description: partial 16S ribosomal RNA
Rfam family: Bacterial small subunit ribosomal RNA
Source: RNAcentral